GUCGGGUAAGUUCCGACCUGCACGAAUGGCGUAACGAUGGCCACGCUGUCUCCACGAGGGACUCAGUGAAAUUGAAUUCGCUGUGAAGAUGCAGCGUACCCGCGGCAAGACGGAAAGACCCCGUGAACCUUUACUAUAGCUUCACACUGGCCUUUGAAUAUGCUUGUGUAGGAUAGGUGGGAGGCAUUGAAGCGGGAACGCCAGUUCUCGUGGAGCCAUCCUUGAAAUACCACCCUGGUAUGUUUGAGGGUCUAACUCAGGCCCGUCAUCCGGGUCGAGGACAGUGUGUGGUGGGUAGUUUGACUGGGGCGGUCUCCUCCCAAAGAGUAACGGAGGAGCGCGAAGGUGCCCUCAGCGCGGUCGGAAAUCGCGCGGUGAGUGUAAAGGCAGAAGGGCGCUUGACUGCGAGACAGACAAGUCGAGCAGGUGCGAAAGCAGGCCUUAGUGAUCCGGUGGCACUGCAUGGAAGGGCCAUCGCUCAACGGAUAAAAGGUACUCCGGGGAUAACAGGCUGAUACCGCCCAAGAGUUCAUAUCGACGGCGGUGUUUGGCACCUCGAUGUCGGCUCAUCACAUCCUGGGGCUGUAGCCGGUCCCAAGGGUAUGGCUGUUCGCCAUUUAAAGUGGUACGCGAGCUGGGUUUAGAACGUCGUGAGACAGUUCGGUCCCUAUCUGCCGUGGGCGUUGGAGAAUUGAGAGGAGCUGCUCCUAGUACGAGAGGACCGGAGUGGACGUACCUCUGGUGUUCCGGUUGUCACGCCAGUGGCACUGCCGGGUAGCUAAGUACGGACGGGAUAACCGCUGAAAGCAUCUAAGCGGGAAGCCUCCCCCAAGAUGAGGUCUCCCUGGAUCCUUGAGAUCCCUGAAGGGCCCUCGAAGACUACGAGGUUGAUAGGCCGGGUGUGGAAGCGCAGUAAUGUGUGAAGCUAACCGGUACUAAUUGCCCGUGAGGCUUGACCAU
RNAcentral lists this ribosomal RNA (960 nucleotides) under Thiotrichales bacterium. Its description in RNAcentral is "partial 23S ribosomal RNA". It matches the Rfam family "Bacterial large subunit ribosomal RNA", at positions 1971 to 2925 of the family's 2925-position model. Lineage: Bacteria; Pseudomonadati; Pseudomonadota; Gammaproteobacteria; Thiotrichales. The record is from RNAcentral.